RNAcentral lists this ribosomal RNA (540 nucleotides) under uncultured Methylobacter sp. Its description in RNAcentral is "bacterial SSU rRNA". It matches the Rfam family "Bacterial small subunit ribosomal RNA", at positions 366 to 898 of the family's 1533-position model. The record is from RNAcentral. Lineage: Bacteria; Pseudomonadati; Pseudomonadota; Gammaproteobacteria; Methylococcales; Methylococcaceae.
GGACAAUGGGCGCAAGCCUGAUCCAGCAAUACCGCGUGUGUGAAGAAGGCCUUAGGGUUGUAAAGCACUUUCAAUUGGGAGGAAAACCUGCCGGUCAAUACCCGGCAGCUUGACAUUACCUUUAGAAGAAGCACCGGCUAACUCCGUGCCAGCAGCCGCGGUAAUACGGAGGGUGCGAGCGUUAAUCGGAAUUACUGGGCGUAAAGCGUGCGUAGGCGGUUCGUUAAGUCAGAUGUGAAAGCCCCGGGCUUAACCUGGGAACUGCAUUUGAUACUGGGCGACUAGAGUUGAGUAGAGGGGAGUGGAAUUUCAGGUGUAGCGGUGAAAUGCGUAGAUAUCUGAAGGAACACCAGUGGCGAAGGCGACUCCCUGGACUCGAACUGACGCUGAGGUACGAAAGCGUGGGUAGCAAACAGGAUUAGAUACCCUGGUAGUCCACGCCGUAAACGAUGUCAACUAGCCGUUGGUCCUAUUUACAGGAUUAGUGGCGCAGCUAACGCAUUAAGUUGACCGCCUGGGAGGUACGGCCGCGAGGUUAAA